Molecule: ribosomal RNA, 477 nt
Filed under: uncultured Planctomycetales bacterium
Lineage: Bacteria; Pseudomonadati; Planctomycetota; Planctomycetia; Planctomycetales
Description: bacterial SSU rRNA
Rfam family: Bacterial small subunit ribosomal RNA
Source: RNAcentral
UUUCGCAAUGCCCGAAAGGGUGAGAAGCGACGCCGCGUGUGGGAAGAAGGCCUUCGGGUUGUAAACCACUGUCGGGAGUUAGGAAAUGCAGGUGCGUUAAUAGCGCACUUGCUUGACUAAGGCUCCAGAGGAAGCCACGGCUAACUCUGUGCCAGCAGCCGCGGUAAUACAGAGGCGGCAAGCGUUGUUCGGAAUUAUUGGGCGUAAAGAGCACGUAGGCGGCCUUGCAAGUCAGUUGUGAAAGCCUUCCGCUUAACGGAAGAACGGCAUCUGAUACUACAGGGCUUGAGUACGGGAGGGGAGAGUGGAACUUCUGGUGGAGCGGUGAAAUGCGUAGAUAUCAGAAGGAACGCCGGCGGCGAAAGCGACUCUCUGGUCCGAAACUGACGCUGAGUGUGCGAAAGCUAGGGGAGCAAACGGGAUUAGAUACCCCGGUAGUCCUAGCCGUAAACGAUGGGCACUAAGUAGAGGGGUUUU